CCUACGGGAGGCAGCAGUAGGGAAUCUUGCACAAUGGACGAAAGUCUGAUGGAGCAACGCCGCGUGAGUGAAGAAGGGUUUCGGCUUGUAAAGCUCUGUUGGUAGUGAAGAAAGAUGGAGGUAGUUACUGGCCUUUAUUUGACGGUAAUUACGUAGACAGUCACGGCUAACUACGUGCAAGCAGCAGCGGUAAUACGUAGGUGGCAAGCGUUGUCCGGAUUUAUUGGUCGUAAAGCGAGUGCAGGCGGUUGUAUAAGUCUGAUGUGAAAGCCCUCGGCUCAACCGGAGAAUUGCAUUCGAAACUGUUGAACUUGAGUGCAGAAGAGGAGAGUGGAACUCCAUGUGUAGCGGUGAAAUGCGUAGAUAUAUGGAAGAACACCAGUUGCGAAGGCGGCUCUCUGGUCUGCAACUGACGCUGAGGCUCGAAAGCGUGGGUAGCGAACAGGAUUAGAUACCCUUGUAGUC
This 465-nucleotide ribosomal RNA is filed under the name uncultured bacterium. RNAcentral describes it as "partial 16S ribosomal RNA". It matches the Rfam family "Bacterial small subunit ribosomal RNA", at positions 338 to 795 of the family's 1533-position model. The record is from RNAcentral.